Molecule: ribosomal RNA, 406 nt
Filed under: uncultured bacterium
Lineage: Bacteria
Description: partial 16S ribosomal RNA
Rfam family: Bacterial small subunit ribosomal RNA
Source: RNAcentral
AUUGAACGCUGGCGGCAGGCCUAACACAUGCAAGUCGAACGAGUGGCGGACGUGUGAGUAAUGUCUGGGAAACUGCCUGAUGGAGGGGGAUAACUACUGGAAACGGUAGCUAAUACCGCAUACCAUCAGAUGUGCCCAGAUUGGAUUCGCUGGUUGGUGGGGUAACGGCUCACCACGGCGACGAUCCCUAGCUGGUCUGAGAGGAUGACCAGCCACACUGGAACUGAGACACGCUCCAGAUUCCGACGGGAGGAAGCAGUGGGGAAUAUUGCACAAUGGGUGCAAGCCUGAUGCAGCCAUGCCGCGUGUAGGAGGAAGGCCUUCGGGUUGUAAAGUACUUUCAGCGGGGAGGCGGUACCCGCAGAAGAAGCACCGGCUAACUCCGUGCCAGCCGCCGCGGUAAUAC